AUUUCAUUGGUUAUAUAUUUCCAUUAAAUUAACUGCUGUGACUUCAGGAAUACAGUGCUUGAGUGUGUGUCUGUCUACUCAAAAGAAAAAAAAGAUGCUGUAAAUUAGACAAUUGGACAUUAUGGUAUCUUUAUGUAAUUCUUUUCUAAGGCAAUAUUGAAAUACAGAAAAGAAAGAGGAGCUUGCUUUGUUUUGACAUCUGUUCAACAGCAGAUUUCUUCUUGUUGUUUUAUGUCCAGUAGAAAAUGGGUUGAAGUUCAACAAGAAUGAGUGCCGGGUCCUACACUUCAGUCACAAGAACUCCAGGCAGUGCUACAGGCUUGGAGCAGAAUGGAUGGAAAGCUGAACUGAGGAAAAGUAUCUGGGAGUAUUGGACUGAACAAACUUGCCUGAAUGUGAGACAGCAGUGUGGCCAAGAAAAUCAACGGCAUCUUGGCUUGCAUCAGAAAUAGUGUAGCCAGCAGGAGCAGCGAGGUGAUUGCCCCUCUGUACUCAGCUUUGCUGUCCAGAGACCUCCAUGGGGGAAGGGAAAUUCUGAGACCAAGGAACAUGCUUGUAUUUUGGCAAAGACUUCUCGAUCGUCCUUGCAUUCCACAGCGAUCUAUGGGACAAAAGGAGUGUUGGGAAUUACUUGUGAGUUGAGUGUUAUGUGUGAAAAUACAACCUGUUGACGAACGAUCAUCUGAUGCAGCAUUCCUGGAGAGUUAUCUCGGUGCUCCCCCCGGGGCUGCCUGUAAAGUAUACCUUGUUUAACAGUAACAAAAUUUUACUGUGGUCUUUAGAUAUUGCGGAUGAUAAUUGUGAUGUAGUAUUGAAGAUGAGGAGACGCUGUAAAGCUGGUCUGCAUUAACAAGGCAAAAGAAAUUACAACGGAAUGCCUAGAAUGUGACAGACAGCAUCAGGAUGUUCCCCUUUGUCUUCCUUACCUGUGUGUACAGAGACUUCUCGAUCGUCCUUGCAUUCCACAGCAAUCUAUGAGAUAAAAGGAGUGUUGGGAGGAAGUAAACGACCACCCCAAGGAAUAAUGGACCGACUGUAGACCAUCACGGCGCUGGAAGGCUAUAUGACAUUAAGCUCACCAAAUAAGGCUGCGUGUUUUGGGCAGUCAUUAGGGGUAAUGAAUUUGGGAAAGUAAUGAAUAUGUAAUACAUGUGAAAAUACAACCUGUUCACAGACGGUCAUCUGGUGGAGCGUUCGUGGAAAGUUAUCUCGAUGCUCCCCCUGGAACUGUCAAAAAAUAAUAUCUUGCGUAACGGUAACAAAACUUUGCUGUUAAGUUUCUACUCACCGAUUUCUCUAAAUCAGCUGGAACCAUUUAUUUGUUUGUUUGUUUGUUUGUUUGUUUUCCC
Molecule: long non-coding RNA, 1349 nt
Filed under: Gallus gallus (chicken)
Lineage: Eukaryota; Metazoa; Chordata; Aves; Galliformes; Phasianidae
Description: lncRNA (ENSGALG00010015236.1)
Source: RNAcentral